This 866-nucleotide ribosomal RNA is filed under the name uncultured bacterium. Its description in RNAcentral is "bacterial SSU rRNA". It matches the Rfam family "Bacterial small subunit ribosomal RNA", at positions 128 to 1032 of the family's 1533-position model. The record is from RNAcentral.
ACCCCUGAGUGAGGAAUAACGUAGAGAAAUUUGCGCUAAUACCUCAUAAUGUCUUCGGACCAAAGAUUUAUCGCUCAGGGAUCAGCCCGCGUCAGAUUAGAUAGUUGGUGAGGUAACGGCUCACCAAGUCGACGAUCUGUAGGGGGUCUGAGAGGAUGAUCCCCCACACUGGUACUGAGACACGGACCAGACUCCUACGGGAGGCAGCAGUGAGGAAUAUUGGACAAUGGAGGAAACUCUGAUCCAGCCAUGCCGCGUGAGUGAAGAAGGCCUUAGGGUUGUAAAGCUCUUUCAAUUGUGAAGAUAAUGACGGUAGCAAUACAAGAAGCUCCGGCUAAAUUCGUGCCAGCAGCCGCGGUAAUACGAAUGGAGCAAGCGUUGUUCGGAAUCACUGGGCUUAAAGCGUAUGUAGGCGGAAACGAAAGUCAGGAGUGAAAUCCCGGGGCUCAACCUCGGAACUGCUCUUGAAACUUCGUUUCUAGAAUCCUGGAGAGGUUAGGAGAAUUCCGAGUGUAGAGGUGAAAUUCGCAGAUAUUCGGAGGAAUACCAGUGGCGUAGCGCCUAACUGGACAGGUAUUGACGCUCAGAUACGAAAGCGUGGGGAGCAAACAGGAUUAGAUACCCUGGUAGUCCACGCCGUAAACGAUGUUUGCUAGUUGUCAGGACCAAAGGUUUUGGUGACGGAGAGAAAUCAUUAAGCAAACCGCCUGGGGAGUACGGCCGCAAGUUAAAACUCAAAGGAAUUGACGGGGACCCGCACAAGCGUGGAGCAUGUUGUUUAAUUCGAAGCAACGCGAAGAACCUUACCCACUCUUGACAUCCUCCUUGGGACUUUCAGAGAUGAUUGUCUUCGGUUCGGCCGGGGG